Molecule: non-coding RNA, 26 nt
Filed under: Rattus norvegicus (Norway rat)
Lineage: Eukaryota; Metazoa; Chordata; Mammalia; Rodentia; Muridae
Source: RNAcentral
UGAGAACUGGGCUGUUACUAAGUUGU